This 465-nucleotide ribosomal RNA is filed under the name uncultured bacterium. Its description in RNAcentral is "partial 16S ribosomal RNA". It matches the Rfam family "Bacterial small subunit ribosomal RNA", at positions 28 to 507 of the family's 1533-position model. The record is from RNAcentral.
GACGAACGCUGGCGGCGUGCUUAACACAUGCAAGUCGAACGGAAAGGCCCCUUUGGGGGUACUCGAGUGGCGAACGGGUGAGUAACACGUGAGUAACCUGCCCUUGACUUCGGGAUAACUUCAGGAAACUGGGGCUAAUACCGGAUAGGAAUCCUUGCUGCAUGGUGGGGGUUGGAAAGCUUCGGCGGUUUUGGAUGGACUCGCGGCUUAUCAGCUUGUUGGUGGGGUAGUGGCUUACCAAGGCUUUGACGGGUAGCCGGCCUGAGAGGGCGACCGGCCACAUUGGGACUGAGAUACGGCCCAGACUCCUACGGGAGGCAGCAGUGGGGAAUAUUGCACAAUGGGCGGAAGCCUGAUGCAGCAACGCCGCGGGCGGGAUGACGGCCUUCGGGUUGUAAACCGCGUUCAGCAGGGGCGAAGCUUGUGGUGACGGUACCUGCAGAAGAAGCACCGGCUAACUACGUG